Molecule: ribosomal RNA, 204 nt
Filed under: Pseudoalteromonas sp. SR45-6
Lineage: Bacteria; Pseudomonadati; Pseudomonadota; Gammaproteobacteria; Alteromonadales; Pseudoalteromonadaceae
Also listed under: 1 other name
Description: partial 16S ribosomal RNA
Rfam family: Bacterial small subunit ribosomal RNA
Source: RNAcentral
UUAAUUGAAGAGUUUGAUCAUGGCUCAGAUUGAACGCUGGCGGCAGGCCUAACACAUGCAAGUCGAGCGGUAACAGAGGGUAGCUUGCUACUUUGCUGACGAGCGGCGGACGGGUGAGUAAUGCUUGGGAAUAUGCCUUUUGGUGGGGGACAACAGUUGGAAACGACUGCUAAUACCGCAUAAUGUCUACGGACCAAAGUGGGG